Molecule: transfer RNA, 73 nt
Filed under: Candidatus Moraniibacteriota bacterium
Lineage: Bacteria; Candidatus Moraniibacteriota
Description: tRNA-Met
Rfam family: tRNA
About the family: Transfer RNA (tRNA) molecules are approximately 80 nucleotides in length. Their secondary structure includes four short double-helical elements and three loops (D, anti-codon, and T loops).
Source: RNAcentral
UGCGGGGUGGAGCAAUUGGCAGCUCGCGAGGCCCAUAACCUCGAGGUUGGCGGUUCAAAUCCGCCCCCCGCAA